RNAcentral lists this ribosomal RNA (267 nucleotides) under uncultured bacterium. RNAcentral describes it as "partial 16S ribosomal RNA". It matches the Rfam family "Bacterial small subunit ribosomal RNA", at positions 89 to 354 of the family's 1533-position model. The record is from RNAcentral.
UGGCGACUGGCGCACGGGUGAGUAACGCGUAUCCAACCUGCCCUUUACUAUGGGACAGCCCGUCGAAAGGCGGAUUAAUACCGUAUGUUGUCAUGUUGAUGCAUAUUUUCAUGACCAAAGGCUUCGGCCGGUAAAGGAUGGGGAUGCGUCUGAUUAGCUUGCCGGCGGGGUAACGGCCCACCGGGGCGACGAUCAGUAGGGGUUCUGAGAGGAAGGUCCCCCACAUUGGAACUGAGACACGGUCCAAACUCCUACGGGAGGCAGCAG